Long non-coding RNA from Macrobrachium nipponense, 232 nucleotides. RefSeq lists it as uncharacterized. Lineage: Eukaryota; Metazoa; Arthropoda; Malacostraca; Decapoda; Palaemonidae. The transcript is spliced from 3 exons. The record is from RefSeq and is a predicted model, not a curated record.
CCAUCAUCCUAGCCUGUUAUCUGUGAUAAAGCACACUGAAGUUAGGUUUGGAAUGCAUCCUUAUCAUGAAUGCUCUACACCUCCACCUCCAUCUCCCACAACCUAGGUAACAGCUUUGAGACUCACUAAAAGUUGAACCCCCUGAAUGAUGUAGGCUAUGGGGCCACAUAAGACUUUGUCCAUCCAGGGUUACGAUGAAUGCAAAAUAUAAACUAAAGAACCAACAUUUUUC